GCGGCCGGGUAAUACACUGUUGUGGCAGAGGACUUUGCCGUGCGGUCGCUUGCACACUCCUCAUUGCACCCUCGGAGCCGGCGCUGUGCCUUGUGAGAGGGGCAUCUUGGAGGCUGGAGGGCGGCUCUUCUAUCCCGAUGAUGAAGCUGGUUGCUGAUCGACAUAGGGAGGAGGGGGCAGGAUUUUUGUAAAUCUAAGUCAUUUCCUGUUCAGGUUCAUUUCCUGGUUGAGACCCAGUUAUCAGCUGCUGUGCUGUCCCCAUACACAAUAUCCCAUCUAAUUCUCCAUGGAGCUGAGCGCUGCAGAGCAUCUCACCCCUCUGCUGAUCGUCUAGGGGAAGACCCUGGUGAUGUGUGUCUAUGGGGAGCACAGACUACACCCAUUGCUCUAACUAUUAAUGGGUGACACCUCCAAUCCAUCUCCUGUGCAGGAUGCAAUGCUAGGCAGUCAUUAGUGUUCUGUCUGUAGGGCUGUCACCCGAAAUUCUAGCUUUCCACCCUGAUCUUUCCUCAUUGAUUGCCUUGCUGCAGCAGAUCUCUCCUUCCUGUUUAUUUUGGCAUUCACCUCUCUGGUCACCGGGGUGGAGAAGCAUUUUGAAUGAACCAUUUGGCCUGAUCCCGUGGAAAGGAUACGAUUGUUUUUCCUGCUGAAGACUUUUUUUGGGGGGUCAUGAACAUGAAGAAGUUCUUUGACUCCCGGCGUGAAUUGGGUGGAUCUGGACCUGGAGUCGGCGGGGUGGCUUCUAGCGUCCUGGGCACUGGAUACAUUGGCAGAGUAUUCACCAUUGGAAGACACCAAGUGACCGUGGACGAGGUUUUGGCUGAAGGUGGCUUUGCCUUGGUCUUCCUUGUCCGUACGAGUAAUGGGAUGAGACGGGCUGUCAAGCGCCUGUAUGUGAAUAGUGAACACGACCUUCAGGUUUGCAAGCGAGAGAUUCAGAUCAUGAGGGAUCUCUCUGGGCACAAGAACAUUGUCGGGUACAUAGACUCCAGCAUCAAUUCUAUGAGCAAUGGGGAUGUAUGGGAAGUACUUAUCCUCAUGGACUUCUGCCGAGGAGGGCAGGUGGUAAAUCUAAUGAAUCAGCGUUUACAGACUGGAUUUACAGAGAACGAGGUGCUGCAGAUCUUUUGCGACACAUGCGAAGCAGUGGCUCGUCUUCAUCAGUGCAAAAUUCCUAUCAUCCAUCGGGAUCUAAAGGUGGAGAAUAUCCUGCUACAUGAUCGUGGUCACUAUGUGCUGUGUGACUUUGGGAGUGCAACAAAUAAAUGUCAGAAUCCUCAGACUGAAGGUGUCACUGCAGUGGAGGACGAGAUUAAAAAGUACACCACGCUUUCUUAUCGGGCACCAGAGAUGGUAAACCUCUACAGUGGCAAAGUCAUCACUGCCAAGGCGGACAUUUGGGCCCUGGGAUGUCUGCUCUACAAGCUAUGCUUCUUCACGCUGCCCUUUGGGGAGAGUCAGGUCUCCAUCUGUGAUGGGAAUUUUACCAUUCCUGACAACUCCCGGUACUCCCAGGACAUGCACUGCCUCAUCAGGUAUAUGCUUGAGCCAGAUCCAGACACGAGACCUGACAUCUAUCAAGUAUCCUAUUUUGCCUUUAAGCUAGCGAAGAGGGAAUGUCCCGUACCGAAUGUACAUGACUCUACCAUCCCUGCAAAGUUGCCUGAAUCAGUGAAAGCAGGAGAAGCCGCAGCUAAGAAAUCCCAACCGAAGGCCAGGCUGACUGAUCCUGUUCCAACAACUGAAACUUCCAUUGCUCCUCGUCAGAGGCCAAAAGCAGGUCAGACUCAACCCAACCCUGGAAUGCUUCCCAUUCAACCGGCUCUAACACCACGAAAAAGGCCCACAGUGCAGCCAGCUGCUGCCCCACCAGCCGCUACAAUCCAGCCCACGGCCCCUGCUUCUGUGCAGCCUACUGCAAAACCUAUUACUCAGCCCCAGCAAGCACCUAAACCAGCCCAAUCAUCUCAGCAACCGGCCACUCCUGUCACCACUGCUGCUCAGACUGCAGCUCCUGCGCAGCCGCCUGCAACUCCAACUGCCCAGCCAGCAUCUCAUCCACAGCAGCAACUUUAUCUCAAGCAACAGCAACUUCUGCAGCAGCAACAGGCAGCAGCUCUGUAUCAGCAGCAAAUGCUCCAAGCUCAGCAGAUGCAGGCCAUGCAGCAGCAGCAGAUGCUUCAAGCCUACUACAUACAACAGCAGCAGCAGCAACUCCUGGCUCAGCAGGCUGCCAUGCAGCAAAAAGUGGCAGCCCCAAUGCAGGCUCCUGCCCAGCCACAAGCUGCACCAGUAAAUGUCCAAAUAUCUGCCGCUCAGGAACAGGGGCAGAUCCAAGCUCCAGCAAGAGCCUCUCAAAAGCCGCAGCCAGCAACAACGCAACCCACUGCAGGACCUAAACUGGGCUCCCUCACCCCUCCUUCCUCUCCUAAGACACAACGUGGGGGACACAGGAGGAUCCUGAGCGAUGUCACACACAGCGCCGUCUUUGGUGUUCCUGCUAGUAAAUCUACACAACUACUACAGGCCGCUGCGGCGGAGGCAAACCUCAAUAAAUCCAAGUCGGCUACUACAACCCCCUCUGGUUCUCCAAGGACCUCACAGCAGAAUGUCCACAACCCACCAGAGUCUUCUGGUUGGAAUCCAUUUGAUGAUGACAACUUCUCCAAACUCACUGCUGAGGAAUUACUCAAUAAGGAUUUUGCCAAGCUGGGAGAAAGUAAACCCCCAGAGCAAUUAGGCAGCUCUGCAGAGGAUCUUCUGUCUGGCUUCCCAGCGCCCCCUGCUGUCUCACAAGCUGAUGCUUUUGGACCUUCUCUGUUUUCUGGUGGAGCAGCUGUGGAUAAACCUGUUGACUUGCAGGGUCAGGAUCCCAGUCCUCCGCUGCAUAAAACUCCUGACCCCUUCUUACCUCUUCCUAUCUCUGAAACUCCAGAGAAAUUGAUUGAGGGUCUCAAAUCUCCAGAGCCGCAGCUUCUGCUUCCUCACCUUGUUCAGCUGGCAGAUCCUUUUGGGAGCACCUCUGAGGCUGUGAAUGGGAAGACAGAGCCUGUGGUGGAAAGCCUCAUUCCUGGGCUGGAGCCUCCCAUGCCUCAGCGCCUCUCUUCCCAGGCAGACUCCAUUACAUCAAAUCGCACAGACUCCCUCACCGGUGAGGACUCUUUGCUUGACUAUUCUAUUCUGUCUAACCCCGCGGCCGACCUCCUUGAUGAGUUUGCUCCAGUAACUCUUUCUGCUCCAGCAUCUGCAGGUCUACUACAAGCUUCCCAGCCUUUCCAUAUGGGAAAUGAUGGGAUUUUUAAAGGUCCUAGUUCUGCAGCAUGUCUCUUAUCAUCUGAAUUAGAAUUAAAGCUGGAGAGUCCAUCGAAAGGCCCAUCUAGUUGCAGUUCAUUUCACAGCAGUGAAGAAGAAGGCACUGACCAUGAGCCAGACCUUUUGGAUUGUAGUGGUUCCAGACCUCUCUUAAUGGACUCGGAUGAGGAGGAGGGGUCAAAGAAAGUUAAGGAUGCAGCAUUUCCCAAUUCUGAAGAGCCUACUUCUAGCCAGGGCAAUCCUAUGUACACUCCAUCAGAAAGGAUGGCCCAUAUGCCUGCAGGAGACUUUGGUACAGAGGUAGAUGUCUUUGCCACAGCGCCAUUCAAAAGUUCAAAAAUAUCAAAGGAUGAUUCUGAUAUAUUCACCAAUGCUCCAUUUUUCGGUAAGUCCUCAACUUCUUUAAACCAGCUGGAGGAACCUGAUGUGUUCCUCAGAGCACCUUUUACAAGGAAGAUUAGCGUUGAAGACCCCUCCUGUGCUCAAGCACAUCAUUCUGUAAAAGGAGGUGAAGUGACGGCAGUGGGAAAUUCUACAUUCCGAAAUACUGACUUAAAGGUGGGAGGCAGUUCCAUGAAGACUUCGUACACUACUGGAAACCUUUAUGCACAUUCCAGCAGAAGCAUUGAACCAGCUGAAGCCUCUCUGUAUCUAAACGCUACUAAGGAGCUACACAGUGCUGAAAACCAUAAGAUUCCUGGUCAUGAGGCAUCUCAAGAGACUGUGUUUGGGACUGUGGUAACCAAACCAUUCUGCCCUCAGUCUUUAUCCAAGUAUUCCCGGCACUACAGUCCGCAAGAAGGACAGGCUGUGGAAGCACAGCCCAUUGCUGCUUACAAAGUAGUGUCUCAUUCUGCAAAAGCCUCUGUAGCUGGAUCUAUUCCCAUCACCCCAGUGACUUAUAGAACUUCAGAGGUUGCAAAUGCAGAUCCAUUUGGCUUGGCUCCAUUUCCUGCCAAAGCUGGAAGACAAAAUCCGUAGUAUAGUUUAGAUUUACGCAUAGGACAACUGGAUUUACGGAAUGCGUUUACCUUCUUCACUUACAUGAUGGAUACACUGCUUCUGAAUAGCUACCAAUACUCUACCCUCUCAUCUUUAAUCCUAAUGACUACAAUUUUUUUUUUUUUUUUUUCCCCAUAGAUACUGUGAAUCAUUUGUAAGGCUAGCACAAGAUAUCAUAAUUAGGCCUUUUGCCUAAAGAUUCAAGCAAUUUACUGUACUGGUAUCAUGUAGUGUGUCUUUUUACCUUGAUUUGCCUAUAGAAAAUGUCCAGCAUGAUGUUAUUUUAAAGGGGUUUUCCAGGAGUUUUAUACGGAUGACCUAUCCUCAGGUCUGAUCGGUUGAGGUCCGAAACCCGGGACCCCUGCUGAUCAGCUGUUUGAGAAGGCAGCGGCGUUCGCAGUAGCGCUUAAGUAUUUGAGCUCAGCCCCAUUCACUUCUACAGGCCUGAGCUGUGCCUAGGCCAUGUGACCAAUGAACGUGACGCCACAUGGCCUAGGCAAAGCUGGAGAAGGCUGCCACGCUACUGCAAACGUGGGUGCCGUCUCAAACAGCUGAUCGGUGCAGUCCUGGGUGUCAGACCCCCACUGAUCGGAUACUGAUGACCUAUCCUGAGGAUAUCUCAUCAGUAUAAAAGUCUUGGGAAACUCCUUUAAAACCAAAAUUCUGUGCUGAUCAAUUUCUUUAUAUAUCUUUAUAGCACUCUGAGCUCUGUAUAAAAAAAUAAAGCUGUAAAAAAUGUUGAGAAAAUAGUCGGUACAGAAUUUUUGAAUUAUGUAGAAAAAAAGAUUUCCGCACCUUCUGAUUUUGGUGGGACUGGAUGGUUAUCUAAUGUGUACAGGGGACUCCUGACUAUCCCCCACAAAAUGAUAUCUGGAGAAAGAAAGGUCGAGCAUGUUAGAUUUCAGUGGACGAUCCUCAGGGAGGAGGUGUCUGACAGCAACUUCUCCCCUCUCUCCCACAUGCAUGCUCGGCUGAGUUGAGAGAAAUAGGUGACAGCCAAAUCCGCUAUUGUAGGUACAUGUGCACCUUAGUUCAGGUUUGCCAUGAACUUUACAAGUUGUUUGACUUGAUGUGUAAUUCUAAGUAAAGUUGUCACCUAGCCUUGUUCUAAGAUGAGGUAGGCUGCCGAGCGUGUAAGUGAAGGUUAAGGUUGUGAUAGUGACUAGAUGGCAUGGGUGAUACCAUUGCAGUCUGGAUUACAAUGGACUGAAACUAUUAGUCAGAUGUGUGUCACUGUUUUGACAGUGUCUGACAGUCCCAGGGCUUUGAGUACUUCUCGCCUCUCCUGACAUGUCUGUUUUAAUAACGAUUUGCAUUCCCCAUGUAAUAACCAUUCUGGAGCAUCAAUUCUUCGAGCUCUAUGCUGUGCCAUUACGCUAUAUUUCCUGCCAGAAGUACAGCUGGGUGUUACCAGUUGGGGUUGUGUCCCUGCACAGUCUGCUACUAUCCAAUCAAUGCUGCCAGUUUCAGACUGUGCAGAGACACACCCCCUACUGGUAACACUCAGCUGUACCUUUAUACAUAAACUUCUAGUAGACAUAAUAAUGGACAUAGUUAUAAUUAUAGAUACUCCAGAAUGGUAAUUUCAAGCCAAAUACAAUUAUUUACUGGAAACAGACAUGUCUGGAGUGGUGAC
Bufo bufo (common toad) is the source of this 5950-nucleotide RNA transcript. It is a transcript of the gene named AP2 associated kinase 1, with no coding region annotated. The record is from RefSeq and is a predicted model, not a curated record. The transcript is spliced from 22 exons. NCBI's taxonomy places the organism in Eukaryota, Metazoa, Chordata, Amphibia, Anura, Bufonidae.